Molecule: RNA transcript, 9233 nt
Organism: Onychostoma macrolepis
Lineage: Eukaryota; Metazoa; Chordata; Actinopteri; Cypriniformes; Cyprinidae
Gene: pde11a
Gene name: phosphodiesterase 11a
Exons: 21
Source: RefSeq, a predicted model, not a curated record
GUAGAUAGGCUACUAGAGGUUUGGCGCAAAAUAACCGCUCAGAAGGUAAAAAUAUGCAGUGCUUUUUUUUCUUUUAAAUAGUGGAAUGUGGUCUUAUGCAUACCUAACAAAAAUAUAAGGGCUUAUUUAACUAUAGGUAAUAAUCUAAAAGAAUAGGCUACAUGCAUACAAUAAUUUAGGCAUUGCUUGCGAUGUCACAACAAUCACGAGAGUUUUGAAAAGCCAUUGAGACUCCAUUUCCCAGUGUCACCGAGGAUGAGCGUCCUUAUAAUAAAAUAAAACAGCUCAGUUUAUGAAAAGACUCCGAAGAGGAUGGAGGGAGGGAUGCGUGAUCCUGACGUCAGCGAUGCACCUGCGAAGCGCUCUGUCGCAUCAUCUCACUGGCGCUGCUUUAGAAUGAACGAGAGCGAGUUGCUCUGCAUCAGACGGAACCGCUGGGUCGCAACAUGCUUAAACUCCGCUCCUCUCGCGGAGGGUCUGUUGUUUGAAGUCUGCGAAUGACACGUUGAGUUCUGCACUCACAUAAAUGACCGUGCAAAACGCGCGUCUCUCUCAUUUCGUUUACAGAUGACCGUCGCGGCAGCAAUGGCAGGGUCAAACAUGGUCUUUUCUGAUGUUGAAAGUUUUCUAGAUGAGCACCCGGAAUUAUUAGAGGACUAUCUGAAAAGAAAAGGCAAGGCAAGCAUGGUGGAAAAGUGGAUGAAGAACCAUCACGCCACUAAAACUCCGGCGAACUCCAGCGCGGAAGCGGAGAAAGCGGCGAACGCGUGCAGUAAAGACAGCUGGGCGAGCAGAAGCGACGGGCUGCAGAGACGAGCGUCGCAGAAAGAGCUGAGGAAAACCUUCGCCAGGUCUAAAGCCAUCAACGCCAACAGGACUUACGACGAGCACGUCAACUCCAGAGCCCAGGAGCCGCUGAGCAGCAUGAGGAGGCGCGCACUGCUGCGUAAAGCCAGCUCUCUGCCGCCAACCACCGCGCACAUCCUCUCCGCGCUGCUGGAGUCCAGGGUCAACAUCCCUCAGUACCCCUCCACCGCCGUAGACUACAAAUACUACCUGAAGGAGCACAGCGAGAGGGAGUUCUUCCUGGAGCUCGUCAAAGACAUCUCCAACGACCUGGAUUUGACCAGUCUGAGUUACAAGAUCCUGGUGUUUGUGUGCAUCAUGGUGGAUGCUGACCGCUGCUCCCUGUUCCUGGUGGAGGGACCGGCCAAUAAAAAGACUCUGGUGUCCAAGUUCUUUGACGUUCACUCUGGAACCACAGUGUUGCCAUCUCUCAGAAACUCGGAUGAGGUGCAGGUGCCCUGGGGAAAGGGCAUCAUUGGAUAUGUGGCUGAACAUGGGGAAACUGUCAACAUUCCCGAUGCAUAUCAGGACCAUCGUUUCAGUGAUGAGAUUGAUAAACUCACCGGAUAUAAAACCAAGUCUCUGCUGUGCAUGCCAAUCCGCAACAGUGAUGGAGAGGUCAUCGGGGUCGCACAGGCCAUCAACAAGAGUCCCAAUGGAGCACUCUUCACUGAAGAUGACGAAAAGGUGUUGCAGAUGUACCUGCCGUUCUGUGGCAUCGCCAUAUCAAACGCCCAGCUGUUCGCUGCCUCCAGGAAAGAGUACGACAGGAGCAGGGCUCUUCUGGAGGUUGUGAACGAUUUGUUCGAGGAGCAGACCGAUUUGGAGAAGAUUGUGAGGAAAAUCAUGCAUCGAGCUCAGACGCUGCUGAAGUGUGAACGCUGCUCGGUUCAGCUGCUGGAGGACAUUGAAUCUCCGGUGGUGAAGUUCACCAAGUCCUUUGAGCUUCUGUCACCCAAGUGCAGCGCCGACAUGGAGAACAGUUUCAAGGACAGCAUGGAAAAAUCGUCCUAUUCUGACUGGCUGAUUAAUAACAGCAUUGCAGAGUUGGUCGCCUCCACUGGGCUUCCUGUGAAUAUCAGCGAUGCCUACCAAGACCCACGCUUCGACGCUGAAGCAGAUCAGUUCUCUGGCUUCCAUAUUAGAUCUGUCCUAUGUGUCCCUAUCUGGAACAGUAACCACCAAAUCAUAGGUGUGGCUCAGGUCUUGAACAGACUAGAUGGAAAACCAUUUGAUGAUGCAGAUCAGAGGCUGUUUGAGGCAUUUGUGAUAUUCUGUGGACUGGGAAUCAAUAACACCAUUAUGUAUGACCAAGUGAAGAAGUCCUGGGCCAAACAGUCUGUCGCUUUGGAUGUGCUGUCAUAUCACGCCACUUGCUCAAAGACUGAGGUGGAUAAGUUUAAGGCAGCAAACAUCCCUCUGGUGUGUGAACUGGGCAUUGAUAAACUAUCGUUUGAUGACUUCUCUCUGGAUGUGGAUGCCAUGGUCACUGCAGCUCUGCGGAUGUUUAUGGAGCUGGGAAUGGUGCAGAAAUUCAAAAUAGACUAUGAGACACUUUGUCGGUGGCUGUUGACCGUAAGGAAGAACUAUCGCAUGGUUCUGUAUCAUAACUGGAGACAUGCAUUCAACGUUUGCCAGUGCAUGUUUUCCAUGCUGACGACAGCCGGCUUCCAGGAGACUCUGACUGAGAUGGAGAUUCUGGCUCUGAUAGUGGGCUGCAUCUGCCAUGAUCUGGACCACAGAGGAACCAACAAUGCUUUCCAGGCCAAGACGGGAUCAGCUCUCUCUCUUCUUUAUGGGACAUCAGCCACACUAGAGCACCAUCAUUUCAACCAUGCUGUUAUGAUCCUGCAGAGUGAGGGUCACAAUAUUUUCUCUAAUCUGUCGUCACAUGAGUAUGGAGAACUCAUGCAGCUCCUAAAACAAUCCAUACUGGCCACAGACUUAACGCUCUACUUCCAGAACAGGAAUUCCUUCUUUGAGCUGGUGAAUAAAGGCGAAUACAACUGGAACGUGAAGGAACACAGAGACAUGUGCAGGUCGAUGUUGAUGACAGCAUGUGAUCUGGGUGCUGUCACUAAACCCUGGGAGAUAUCAUGCAAGGUUGCAGAGCUGGUGACUAGUGAGUUUUUCGAGCAGGGAGACAGAGAGCGAUCAGAACUGAAACUGACUCCCUCGGCAAUUUUUGACCGAAACCGCAAAGAUGAGCUGCCAGGUCUACAGCUGGAGUGGAUUGAUGGAAUCUGUGCGCCGCUCUAUGAGACAUUUGCCAAAUUAAACCCCAAACUACAGCCAAUGGUUGACUUGAUCAAGGCCAAUCGUGCCAAAUGGGAAGAGCUUCACCACAGACACCAGCGCAGCCAGGAAACCAGCAGCCCUGGAAGUCCACGUAACGCAGACGCCACAGCAACCAGCUGCAGCUGCGCAGGCACCAGCGACGCCGGCCCUUUUCAUUCUGAGAGCUAACUCUGGAGAGAGAAACCUGCCAGAUUUUGCCACAAUGCUUCUCUCUGACCCGCAGCAAUGCAGACAGGAGUUUUGACCUCUGCUGCACGCUUCAGACCAGCAGCCUUUACCUCACUAGCGCCCUCUAUUGGGCAUUUGCUCUGUCUGCGAGCACUUCAGGCAACCGUGACCGAGUUUGCGUUCGUCUCCACAGUGCAAAGACUGCACGUUUAGCUAGCAACGGAGAACCUUAGGGAUGUGUUUACGCCCAGAAGCUAAUUGGCUGAAUUAGCUACUUUAGGGCUAGCAUGCUAACAUAAAGACUAUCGUGCGUGUAAGCUACUUUCAGCAGGGACUGUUUAAGAAGGAUUGCCGCUUUUUGAAAGCUGAUGUAUUUAUUCCAGGAUCAGGGGUUUGUGGAGCCGUGGGGCUCUUGGCAAUGCUUGCAAUGCAAAUCCACUCCAGCGCUGUACUCUGUGCCUUGGUAAAACCCUAUGAUAAUGCAUGCAGCCCGUCCUUGACAUCAUUCUUCUCUCUAGUUCACACUGCAUAUCGUCAUGGAUUUUCCCUCAUGUCUUGGGCCUGUUUCAUAUCUCGAAGGUAAGCAACGUGUUUUUAUUCCAGCGCCCAUGAUGAAAAAUUUAAGUUCUGGCAUCAUUUAUUCACACUGUUUAUUGUUUCAAGUAGGGGUGUGCGAUAUCUUCUACGAUAAUAUCAUAAUUGUUUAAACGAUAUGCGAUUUGACAUUAUCAAGUAUAUUGCAAAAACCUAACAAUAAACAAGUCCAAUAAAACAAGAAGCUAAUAUUAAUUGACAGUUGCAGUUUAGACACAAGUUCCUGUUUUUGCUCUAUUUCGUCAACGGAAAUAGUUUCAAACAAAGCCACGGCAGAACUGCUUUGCUUCUUUGAGAAACACAUGAUGGUGUUUCGUUACUGAACUGAUCAGCCUUAACUUGAACGAAUCGGUUGAAUGAAUGAUUCAAUGACUCACUCAUGCAGUGAUUUGCCACCGAUUUUAAGUUUAUAUUUAAAGUAUAUUUCCCCUUUUUUUCCAAAAUCAUUUCAAAUAUCAGUAUUCAAUGUUUUUUUUUAACAUCAAAACAUUAAUUAUGCAUUUGUAGCUGCAGGUUAAAUGCAUUCAUGUCCUGUGUUUAACAGUCUAUGUGAAUGCAUCUAAACGCCACUUCAGAUGCAGAUUCUGUGCCAUCUCUGCAUUGCAAAUUUAAUUUUGAGUGGUAACAGCCCUAUAGUGUCUUACUAUUUGAAUUUAUUGAUUACAUUUAAGAAUUUGACACAAAAGAUGCAUGCAUUUAAUUAGGUUAAAAUAAAAAAAAUUGGCCUUAUAAAGGUAAAAAUGUUCUUAUUGGAAAAGUUCAUUUGUUACUCCUACAAACUAACCACCUCACAGAAUAUGAAGAGUAUCAAAAGUUUUGGGAGUCACCUGUCCACGACAGUCCUAAACCUGCCAAAAUAACCAGCACAAUAACAUGCUCAGCAAAAUGUUGUCUAAUUCUCGUUAUCAACAAAAUUCCAGAAAAUAUUGUCGCACACCCCUUAGUAUGUAUGAUGCAAAAAAAGAAAUUCUGAAGAUUUGUACUCUGGUGCGUUUCCCAAAAUCAUAGUUAACCAACAAUGCUUGUAAGUUCUGUUGUUACCAACAUAGUUCAACAGUUUGGCAUUUCCCGAAUCUAUAUUCCAACAAACAUUCUUUUCAAAAUUUACAUCUUAGCAAAGUUUUCACUCCACCUUCUUAACUUCAUUAAAGUGUCCCUAUUAUGGGUAAUGAAAGGUUCAUAUUUUGAACAGGUUCAACAGGUUGACAUACAUGCAAGGUCAAAAAACACAUUAAUUUUCUUAUAAUAUGCAUUUAUUUUAACCUUACUUGCUCAACGACUCCCAAACUAUUCGUUCAGCAAAUCAUUUUUCCAAACCCCUCCUUUGCGUGAUGCUAAUCUGCGGCGAUUGGUCUCAUUUUCAUUUCAUCAUUCCUGUAAUGCUUGAUAAAGCAGCGUUUGUGAGCGCAGUGCUGCUUUGUGUACAACGUUACUGGGGAAACUGCUAUUUUUUACCGCUCCAAAAGCGGCACCUAGUGGAAAGAAUGAAUUUUGAUUUUCAUUCAGACCAAUGCAAAAAGACCAACAAGUGGGCGGAAAUAUGCUAAUGUUUCAUGUUGACGUCAACAUGACACGGCUUGGGAUUUGUUUUAAACACGACUCGGUUCAAUGAUUCAGAGUCGACUCUUUCUUUUGAGAGACAAUAAUAUACACGGUGCACUUUCAGAUUAAAAACUUUGCAGGAUGUUUUCAUUCACUUAGAGCUGUGUUACACACUGCAUAAAAGGUCAUUUCAAAAAUCCAUAAUAGGGGCACUUUAACCAAAAUUGCCCAAAUGAUGGAUGUGCGACAAAGUUCCUACUUUUUCGGGAAACGGUUAAGAAUAAUUUGUUUCUCCAACAAUGCAUCAUACUAUGGUAGUGAAAUAUGUCAUCUUUCGGGGAAACGCACCACAGGUUUAAAGCUUCUAGCUUCAAAAAGACUCAAAAGGUGUAAAAGUACCAUAAAGGCCAUACAAUAGAUUUCUAGAGUUUAAUUUAAGGUUUUGGGUUUUAUGUAGUUAAUUAUUACCGUAUUGACCCGAAUAUAAAACAACCCUGAUUAUAAGACGACCCCCCUUUUUCCAGAUGUACCUUUUGGAAAAAGGCUUUUUGAAUACCAAAUCUUUAUUUUUUUUUUUUUUUUCUCUCUGUAAAUCACAUUUUUUCUUAAAUUAUUUUCAUAUUGCAUAUUUUUCCUAUUUUAAUUUUGGUUUUGAAAGUAUGGUAAAUACUGGUAAAAUGUACCAUUAUCAACAAUGACAUUUAAAAAUAUACACUUUUUGAUAUACCAUAAAAAUAACAGGUAGCCCAUAUGAAUUAUACAUUUAGGCUAUCCAUCUCAUAGUAGCCUUCCAAAAUUUUAUUAACAGUAGAAGUGAAAUCGUAUUGUAGUCUUCAAAUCUGGGUAGUGUCUUCUGUUUUAAAAUCACUUACAGAGAAGUUUGGUCCAUCAGGCUAACAUGACAGUCACGACUCGUGCCACUGUAACCAUUUUCUUUUUCUUUUGUUUUCACUCACGAUCUUUACAACACACAUACAUUACAUAUUUCAUGGCACAAUUGUUUUAUGCGUUUUUGGCGCCACCUAUUGUUGUGGGUGUAUUAUUGACAUGUCAAAGCCUAGACCCAGAAUAUAAGACGACCGCGUUUUUUCAGAUGUAUUUCCAAGAAAAAAACAUCGUCUUAUAUUCGGGUCAAUACGGUACUUACUCUUUGGCUAUAAAUAUGAUGCCUGUCCUCAUGUAAAUUACAUUUUGUGAUGAUACACUUUUUGGUAAUUCUGACUGGUCAACUCCUAAUAACCAUUUCAUAAAUUAUUAAAGAAAAUACUUGAUGUAGUAACCCAGAAAUUCAGUUGCAGCUUUGUAACGUUCACACAAAAUGCGUUUUUCCAUUCCAAUGUGCUACUUUUCCAUUGUUUUUCUAUGUAAAUGUGCUAGCUGGACGUGUAUGACCAUUGCGCUCGCGUCUCACGCUUUUGCAGCGUUUCGCACAUGAGCACCGUGUUUUUGAGAUGCCAUGUCAAGUUAAAAGUUCAAAUUUAACUUUUACACGCAGCGCCGCCCAUCAAUGUCAUUUCCAAAACAGUGGACCAAUCAGAAGUCACCGAAGGUGGAACAAGCAUUACAAGCUUUGCAAACUUUUACAGUAGCAAGCUGGCAUGGAAGCUGUUUUUUUGUGACGGCAACAUAGCAGAGAAAGCACUGAUUGUGGCUGUAUGCGGAUAUAAAUUUUUUUCAAGCGAUUAUCACAACCCGUUUCUUUACAAAAGGAGCCUGAUAUUCUCGAUCUAUUCUGCUGUUUGGCUAUUUUCUGUUAUUUCUGUUAUUGCAUCACGUCUCGAGACCCUUGCAUUUUAAAACAUUCCGUUUUUAGACGCAAAGACGUGUUGUGUGUGAACGGCCCCUUUGGCUGGAGUGAAACAGGCCUUUACAUUCCUGGCUUGUUUUAACCACACGAAGCAGCACCCAAAAUCACAUACUUUCCUACUAUAUAGUAGACGAAAUACAGAAUGUCCAAAUUCACAGUAUUCAUAUAACAUUAGUUGAAAAGUACCCGUAUGACCUACUACUGAUGCUGUUAGGUCACAUGAUGAAUGUAGUACGUAUAUUAAAUUCAUAACACACACAUUCAGACUAUACGUAACAUACCAUUUUAAAGUUAUUACUUAGUAAGAAGUAUACUUACUCAGAGAGUAUGUGAUUUGGGAUGCAGUCGUGGUGUGGGUGCCUCUUACUGGAUUACCUCAAACCAAACAUCCCUCAUUCCAGACCCACACAGAACCUGCAGAACUCCACAGAACGCCUGGCAAGUUCACACAGAAGUUCUACACACCUUCUGCAUGUUUGAUUACUUAUUAAAUAGUUUGAAUAAUUCGGUCAUGUUUUCAGCUACUGCAGAAGUGCAUUACUGUCCUCCACAGAUUGUCUCAUAAAAUUAGUGUAGAAAAAGUGGGGGGGGAAAUAUCUGCAGGUUCUAUUUGGGCCUAUUUCUAAUUUCAGACCGCUUUUGUCAGCCACCUUUUUUUCCAUAAGAGUUCUUGUGAAAUUGUCAGUCUAUUCUGAGACAUGUAUGUGCCUUUACUAAUUAAAAAUCUACUUCAGUGCACACAAGCAUCAUUUCAGAAUCUCAUUGUAGGGAAAGUUAAUAUCACCUAUAUUUUCUAUAAAGGAUAAUUUAGGACCAUAAAGUUUUUCUUUCCGUUGCAACACAUUUUCUGCCAAAAUUCAUAAAUCUGAAAUCUGUCCAAAUGAUUUCCUUUUUUGUCUUUAAUUCUCAUAACUCUCCUUUUUGUUUGUUUGUUUUUGUCCAGGAGUGUAUAACUGUUAAAUUCAUGAAUGCUUUCAGGUCUACAUCUUUAAAAAAAUAUAUAUAUAUUUUUAAACAUGAAUGCUAACAGGCAUAACACACUCCUGGAUUUUCAACACAAACCUGUCACAACAGUCACAAAAUAAAUGCCUAUCAUCUGGCCUUUUUGGUUUUCCUGGAUGGAGGAGGAAAUGUAUGACCGUAGUAUUUUGGAAAUAUAAACCCUGUUGGCUGAUGGGAAGGGUAUUGGGGCUGUUUAAUGUAUCUGUUUGCUGUCAGAGAUGGACUGGCUGUAUGGAGCUAAAUUUGUAUAAUUACACAGCGUACUGUGAUCAAACAUGUACUAUGAUAAACUCUGCACUUCCAGGUUGAGUCUGGUCAGAGGUCACAGGGCGGUUUAACACGGCGCUACAGAAAGUCUUCCUCCAUUUAGGAAAACAUCUAAUGUUUUGAGGGCAGCUAUAACAUACGACCACAAACAUUCACUCAGAUCAGACAUUUAGUUUCUCUCCCCUGUCCCCGUGCUCCUUUGCGUCCUGAAGUGGACUCUGGUUUGAUACGUAACUGCACUUUGAUCAUCGUGUUGUGGUUUGAAAGCCUCCUUGUGCUAAAAGUCCACCUGCUCUUGGGAAAUGAAUAAAGUUAAAAUGUCAUCUGAUAAAGAGUAAAAUGUAAUUGCAUGAAGAAGUGUCUGCUUCAGAGAUGAACAGUUACCUGUAAUGAGAUUCAUCUGUAAUUCAUUAUUCAGUACUUGAUUUAAUGUACCUGCAUGGAAGCAGCUGUUGCAUCGCAGCGGGGAGGAAUGGUUUCAUAUUGUGCAACUGCAUUAUUCAGAAUGUUUUACAUUAUUCCCAAUGAUUUCUUGGGGGAUUGGUUCUUGUUAUUACCACUGUUAGAUUCUUCUCUGAGGCAUUAUGUAAGUGAUGAGGCUCUUUUGAAUUGUCUUGUUCUCUUGGUUCAGCUCUCCUUUUGCCUGGCAGAGAUUUCUUGAGAAUCCUGAAGCAUGAUUUCUGAAAGUGUAAACUGUCUAAUUCAAAUA